Molecule: long non-coding RNA, 2594 nt
Organism: Culex pipiens pallens (northern house mosquito)
Lineage: Eukaryota; Metazoa; Arthropoda; Insecta; Diptera; Culicidae
Exons: 2
Source: RefSeq, a predicted model, not a curated record
ACUCGGAGGAAAAUCCUUAUUAAAAUGUUGUCCCUCCGUGAAUUCCGUGAAAUCACCGUGACUCAGCAAAGUCACGGUAACUUUGAGGAACCCCUCGGUUUUCGUCGAAAUAAAUGUUCCUCGCAGCACUGCUUGGUGUUAAAUAUUUACAAUUGGGAAAACAGCUGUUUUGUGUUUUGAUUGAUUUUUUUUUUCGUUUGCGUUCCGCAUUUCGUCCGUAAUUCCGUUUUUAGCAACAAAAAAGUGUAAUUCCGGCACGUAGAAAGACCAACCUGGUUCAAAGUGAUCUACAACACCAAGUGAGAGUCCUCCCAGAAGUUAAUCUUCGGUAGUUUUUUCCCGUUGAAAGCUCUCCCAUUGCAAAUGCUCCGAAGAAACCGCCUGAAAAGUCGGCGUGUUAGCUGGCUGAAAAAAAAGAGAAGCGGCCAACGGCCGCUAUUGCUUUUUACGGCUCGGAUGAAAAGAAGUCCCCUUGGAGAAGAGGAAGCUGUUAGCAGCCGCCGCAGAGAAACAGACAGCGGAGCUGGGUCUGGCUGCAGCUGAUUCAAAGUGUGCUGCUCCGAGUGCCUUUUCUAAUCCCUGUAUGUCCACUCUCAGCCAGCGCCACAACCUGCCAUUUUGUAACGGUCGUUGUCCCAUCCAGCACCUACCAUAGCCCGGCAACCUCGAAACAACACAAACCGCCACGAUGGCCGGUUCUUCCGCGACCGGCUGUUCAACGAAGUGCCUUUCCAGUGUGAUCUCCGGCUCGCUCUGAAGAUCAUCCCGCCCCUGGUUGCCGACUCCGGCAAUGGCCACCGGGUCAUCGUUGUGUCGAAUCUUACAGCCAGUGCUGGUAGAACCGAAAAUCUUGCCAAUGAUUUCUCCGAAGACGCCGGCAGAUGCGGAAGCUCACGCACAAGGAGCGAUUCAUCUCGAAGCGGACUCAAUCUUUUGCGAGGCAAUUGAGUUGCAGUUAAGUAAAGAACUGUAAAAAGCUGACCAGAUUCACCGGUGGCGUUGAAAACCACCGGAAAAGGACAAAUAGCCAUCAACCAACGGUGCUUCAUCUGUAUAGAUUAAGAUCGCAGAGUGAUCAGCAGUUUUUACGCCAACAUUCUGGCCGGCGACUACGAACCGACCUCUCUCCAAGCUCUCGCGUAUUCUCUAGGACAAAAGGUCAUCGUUGUACAAACAGCGUCGGCGACACUUGCGUUGUACUACGACUAGCGCAUUAGGAUGUUCAAGGAUCGUUGAGCAUCCUGUACCAGCUGUUGUGCGGCGAGGACGUCGGGCUGUUGAGAGUGAAUCCUUGUGAAUGUUUUGUUUUGAGAUUUCUUAGUUUUUUUAGAAGUUUCUUUCUUGUUUUUUUUUUUUUUGUAACGGUACCCAAUAAAAAGCUGGUUGUUUUCUUGUUCGGAUAAUCCACCGAAGCAAUUUGAAAUCGAUUUUUUGGCAGAUCUUGAAGCUGGUGUCGGUGCGAGUUUCGAGGAUGUUGAAAAGGUCGGCAUCUUAGGGUGAAGGCCACUUCUAGCUUACUUUGGAGGGGUCAACGGGUUUUGAGAGGGCGACGGAGUGUCGUUUUUACGGAAGCUGAAGGCCUUGGGUCCACUCGUGGGAGUUAGCAUGGCAACUACUCCAAUGAAUCCGUCCUCGUCUGACUAUUUUUCAGCAUCAAUCAUCCGUUGGGCUCUUGGAUCACGUACGGUAAUCAGUUCCUCAUACUUUCUGGUCCUUGGUCGGCUGGACAGAUAGUAGCGGGCCUCAGCCUUGAGUUCGCUGCUUGUUGAAGCCACUAUACUACGUACAGCAACUUGCCGAAAUCUAUGCUUCGGAAUCUGGGUUCCUCGGAUGAAUUCGAAACGCAAGAAAAAAAAAAAACACAUUCGCUAGGUGUCAAUAUAACUUUGUUUUAGAUCUCAAUCUAAUUGACAAAAAGGAGCGCUAAUCAAUAAGUGUACAAAUUGUCGAUUCACUGUGUCUCACCCCUCGUACCACACCCUCCAGCGUUCAAACCAUCUGAAGCUUCAUCAACGGACCGCCCGAAUCUCCUUGGCAAAGUCUCCACCGGCGCAUGUCCUCUUUUUUGUUGAAAACUUAGCCCGGCUCCGUUCCUAGUCGUACACCUUGAUGCCCUGCUUUUGCUUGAUUGGACUGCGGCUGCUAUUCAGCAUGCGUCCGAAUCCGGUCACAAAGUUGACGUCACCGGCCAUCGAACUCCUUAAGUCCGUGUACGAACGUUCUGGGCUAUCCAUGGCAUCGCAAUGUCGUUUAGUUUGCUCAGUUCGGCGUUCUUCGGAUGGAAGUCUUCUCCUCCAGUGUCACGUCCAACGGAGAAUCAGCACAAAUCUUCUCGCCGUCUUGCUCGAUGCAGUCGAUCUCUAUCGUGGUGUCGUACAACCGGACUGAUUCUACAAUUGGAAAGAAAUUGUUUAUCAAAAAGUCAAACCAUAUUUUAUCGAUUUAAAGUACAGCGUUUUCUCCUUCUUUUCGACCUCCCUCCCGACCACGCAAUGUGUCGCCGUGCCCACGUACCGGUUAUUGACCAGCGCCACCACAGCAUGACCUAGGACCUUGGAAACUCCGUCGUAGAUCCUCAUCCCACACUCGUUCCG